AAACUUUCAACAACGGAUCUCUUGGUUCUGGCAUCGAUGAAGAACGCAGCGAAAUGCGAUAAGUAAUGUGAAUUGCAGAAUUCAGUGAAUCAUCGAAUCUUUGAACGCACAUUGCGCCCUCUGGUAUUCCGGAGGGCAUGCCUGUUCGAGCGUCAUUAC
Molecule: ribosomal RNA, 159 nt
Filed under: Coleophoma eucalyptorum
Lineage: Eukaryota; Fungi; Ascomycota; Leotiomycetes; Helotiales; Dermateaceae
Description: 5.8S ribosomal RNA
Rfam family: 5.8S ribosomal RNA
About the family: 5.8S ribosomal RNA (5.8S rRNA) is a component of the large subunit of the eukaryotic ribosome. It is transcribed by RNA polymerase I as part of the 45S precursor that also contains 18S and 28S rRNA. Functionally, it is thought that 5.8S rRNA may be involved in ribosome translocation.
Source: RNAcentral